This 933-nucleotide unclassified non-coding RNA is filed under the name Hevea brasiliensis (rubber tree). The record is from RNAcentral. Lineage: Eukaryota; Viridiplantae; Streptophyta; Magnoliopsida; Malpighiales; Euphorbiaceae.
AUUACAGAAGUGCAUGGUGAGAAGAUAUGGAUAUGUUUCAUGGUUGAGGUAGGUUCAGAAUUCUGCUGUAUCAAUUAUCCAGCACAGUGGAGAAUAAGAAUUGCAUUUUCUCUAUUCAUCUAUUUGAAGUUCAUGGCUAAUUUAAAACCUGUUUAGUAAUAUUGUUUAAAUGUCUUAUAUGGAAGCAUAUGCACAGGCAUCUACAGAAUUGUCUUCAAUACUAUUGUUAGAACAUUUGCUGCUGUUACUCUAUUUAUUCCCUCAUGUUGAAUGAUAGGAAUCAGUGCUUAAUUGCUUAUUUUGUCCUGUUAAUUGCAUAUGCUAAUGGGAGAAGCACUAAUUGUUUACCUAGAAGAUUAAAAUAUUGCAUCUCUUUGUGUUUUAAUACCAUUGAUGCGUAAGCCUAUGAUUUCUACCUAAACUCUCAAUAAAGCACAGCUCUUCCACAGCCACCUGGCCUGGGGGUAGAUUGCUUUACAUAGAGAUUUUGAUCUACAUGCAAAGUCAUAUUAAUUUUUAGUUUUCAGUUGCAAUUAUCAUUUGCUUGUUUAUUGGAUUGUGGGAGUUGCUUUAGUUGGGUUAUGGUUAAAACAUGACUCCCAUCUUGCUAACAAAACAAGUUGAGAUACAAACUGUAUAAGCGUCCUCGACAUACAUAUUGCAUAGAAUGGAAUAUCAGAAUAUGCUAACAGUAAAAUGUGUUAAGAGGACUUAAAAAGUAUACCAGAUACGAUUUUGGCCUUUGUUUUAUCUAGAUUCUCAAUGAAGAUGAGUAGAAAUAUACAUGAUAUGCAAUUGCAAGAUGUGAGCUGGAAAAAUGUAUGAUAUGCUAUCAUUCUUUAUUUAACACUCUGGAAUGCUGUUUACAGAAUUUCUUAUUUGUAUCAUGAAACAUUUCAGGGUCAAAACAACAGAGUCAUUCAUAGAAUGGAU